This is a long non-coding RNA of Coturnix japonica (Japanese quail), 272 nucleotides long. RefSeq lists it as uncharacterized. Lineage: Eukaryota; Metazoa; Chordata; Aves; Galliformes; Phasianidae. The record is from RefSeq and is a predicted model, not a curated record.
CCUAUAGCAUCCAGCCUGAAAAUGUAAUGCCAGCGGUAGGAGUGGUGGAGGGCUCUGGCUGCGGGCGGCUCCAGCAGACAGCAAAGUGCGCGGUGGAGCGAUAGGGACGAGAUGUUACAAAAGACCUGCCAGUAAUUCAGUGAGCGACGCCGGCCUGAGAUCCCACUCGCUUUUCCCCAGCAUGUCUUCCAUUCCCUUCCUCUCCCGCUUGAGAAGAACGCCUAUUUGCAUUCGGUAUAUUAUAUCUAAAAAUAUAUAAUUAAGCAACUAAA